UACGGAGGGAGCUAGCGUUGUUCGGAAUUACUGGGCGUAAAGCGCGCGUAGGCGGCUACUCAAGUCGGGGGUGAAAGCCCGGGGCUCAACCCCGGAACUGCCCUCGAAACUAGGUAGCUAGAAUCUUGGAGAGGUCAGUGGAAUUCCGAGUGUAGAGGUGAAAUUCGUAGAUAUUCGGAAGAACACCAGUGGCGAAGGCGACUGACUGGACAAGUAUUGACGCUGAGGUGCGAAAGCGUGGGGAGCAAACAGG
RNAcentral lists this unclassified non-coding RNA (253 nucleotides) under uncultured Sphingomonadaceae bacterium. RNAcentral's name for it is "contains 16S-23S intergenic spacer region". It matches the Rfam family "Bacterial small subunit ribosomal RNA", at positions 524 to 776 of the family's 1533-position model. Lineage: Bacteria; Pseudomonadati; Pseudomonadota; Alphaproteobacteria; Sphingomonadales; Sphingomonadaceae. The record is from RNAcentral.